RNAcentral lists this small nuclear RNA (107 nucleotides) under Catagonus wagneri (Chacoan peccary). Lineage: Eukaryota; Metazoa; Chordata; Mammalia; Artiodactyla; Tayassuidae. The record is from RNAcentral.
GUGCUCGCUUCGGCAGCACAUAUACUAAAACUGGAACCACACAGAGAAGAUUAGUAUGGCCCCUGUGCAAGGAUGACAGGCAAAUUCGUGAAGCGUUCCAUAUUUUU